GACAUCCAGAGAACUUAGCAGAGAUGCUUUGGUGCCUUCGGGAACUCUGAGACAGGUGCUGCAUGGCUGUCGUCAGCUCGUGUUGUGAAAUGUUGGGUUAAGUCCCGCAACGAGCGCAACCCUUAUCCUUUGUUGCCAGCGGUUCGGCCGGGAACUCAAAGGAGACUGCCGGUGAUAAACCGGAGGAAGGUGGGAUGACGUCAAGUCAUCAUGGCCCUUACGGCCAGGGCUACACACGUGCUACAAUGGCGCAUACAAAGAGAAGCGACCUCGCGAGAGCAAGCGGACCUCAUAAAGUGCGUCGUAGUCCGGAUUGGAGUCUGCAACUCGACUCCAUGAAGUCGGAAUCGCUAGUAAUCGUAGAUCAGAAUGCUACGGUGAAUACGUUCCCGGGCCUUGUACACACCGCCCGUCACACCAUGGGAGUGGGUUGCAAAAGAAGUAGGUAGCUUAACCUUCGGGAGGGCGCUUACCACUUUGUGAUUCAUGACUGGGGUGAAGUCGUAACAAGGUAGGCGUAGUGCU
This 525-nucleotide ribosomal RNA is filed under the name uncultured bacterium. Its description in RNAcentral is "bacterial SSU rRNA". It matches the Rfam family "Bacterial small subunit ribosomal RNA", at positions 983 to 1509 of the family's 1533-position model. The record is from RNAcentral.